GUGGCACAUGCCUUUAAUCCUAGCACUUGGGAGGCAGAGACAGUUGUAUCUCUGUAAGUUUGAGGCCAACCUGGUCUACAGAUCAAGUUCCACGACAGCCAAGUUAACACAGAGAGACCCUGUCUCAAAAAUUCUUAUUUAAUGUUAAUGACCAAAAUACAACAGCUGCUUAGAGACACUGCUUUAUGGGGAAAAACAAAACAAAACAAAACCUAAAUUAGAACAGCCUAUCUAUUUUAAGGAUGUCCUAACUUAACAAUGGAAAACAGGAAAUAUGUUGUGUUAGGGAAGAGAUUUUGUCUUUGUUUCUACAGGAGAAGAAAAACUAUGGAUUCCAUCCAAAUUGAUAAAAAUCAGGUUUGUCAGGGAAGACCUAAAGAUUUUGGCUGCAGACAGAAGGAAAAAAAAUAAAGAGGACCAAACAGGACAGAUUGCUGGCGUCGAACCCUUGAACCUCCAGCCUUCGAAGCACCGAACCGGGGAGCCUCGCCCCACCCACUCAGAGAAGGGAGUUCGACAGUUUUCCGGCUACAGUGUCCCGGGAAUGUGGGACUUAGUCGUCUCGCCCCACCAUCCUCGGAUUUUAGAAUGGUUUGAAAGAAAAAGGAAACUUCCUCAGGGUUCUCCCCGCCCCCGGCCAGACAGCUGGGGGAGGAUCCCGCUCCGCUCCGCUCCGCUCUCCCGAGCGGCCGCCUCAGCUCUGGGGCGCCCCCCGGCGCCUCAAGCACAUUUUAGAAUUUUCCCAGGAGCCCCAGCGGGAGGAGGCUCCGCCCCCCUCAUGAAUACCAAGAAGCCGCGCCUCUUCUGCCUCACGGGGACUCAAAGCCCUCCCAGGAGCCCCCGCGCGGGGAGGCCCCGCCCCCUCGCCUAAAGCCCGGAGCCUGGGCGCUUCUGCCUCCUUACGGGAGGCCUCGCCCCUUCGGGAAUACUAAGGAAGAGGCUCCCCUAGCGCCCUCCUCUUCGAGGAGUAUCGUUCUGAGUGAGGCCCUGAGAGCCCCAGCCGGUGCCACCACCAUCUUAGGCACAGGCGCGCGCCUACCGCGCCACUGCGUUCUUUACACUCAGUUUUUAAGGCAGGGUUCCCUCCGGCCCCGCGCCGACCGACCAUGUCAGGGGAGAGCUUUUUAUCAGAAGUUGGAUGCCGAGUGUGAUGGCACUGGGCUAUGUUGAGAGCCUGCUUCAACAUCCACCCCCCCAAAAAAAAUAUUAAGUUCUCAUUCACUUAUUUAUAGAUGAAUUUUCUUUCCUCCCUCCCUCCUUCCUUCCUUCUUUCCUUCCUCUCUCUCUUGAGACAAGGUCUGCUUAGGUAGCCUAGGCUAGCCUGAACCUUUGACUUUCUUGCAUAAGCCUUUUAGAGUGCUGAGGUUAUAGGCAUACCUCAACGGGCAUGGCUUGAUUAACUGUCUGUGGAAGCCUGCAGAGGGGAAGGCUGGCCAGGAGGCCUUAAACAUACAACAGAGAAUGAGGAUCUGGCUUCCAUUCCCAGCACCCAUAUUUUGGCUCAUGACUAUCUGUAACUCAGUUUCCAAAGCAUCUGGUAUCUCUUCUGGACUCCUCAGGUACAUGGGUGUAGACUCGGGAAAAAAUACCCAUACAACAAAUAACAAGCUACCCGACUUCCCUGGUUGUGAAGCCUAGUGGUCAAAUCUUUGCCUAGCAUGUAGUAGGUCCUGGGUUCUAUUCCUUAUGAUGAUCAAAAACCCUGAUUUCCCUCUUUUCUAAAUCUUCCUCCAGGUUUCUUUUGGAAAUUUGCACCCCUGGAUGUUGGGAGUGUUAGUUCAGUAGUGGAAAGUGUGUACUUAACAUGUAUGAAGCCCUGGGUUCAGCUCCCUGCUCCCCCCAAAAAUAUCCUUCAAAAAACCCAGAAUGAAAUAAACAAAACAACAACAACAAAAACACCCUGCAUGGCAUGCUUUCUUCCCCAAGUGGUGCUGCAAACUUGAGAUGAUGGAAACCUUCAGUGCCUUCUAGUUGUCCAGCCUUUCUCGUGCUGUAGCUUAAUUUCGGUUUUCAUAAACAGCAGAUGAAAUAUGAACUGAAUCGAGGUCUGGGGUGCAAGCCUCUAAUUCCAGCUAGUUGGGCAGCAGAGGCAGGAAGAUCACAAGUUCAAGGCCUCCCUAGAAGAUACAGAGCGAGGUCAAGGUCAGUCUGAGGAAGCUGUUAAGACUAAAAGAAGAAGAAGACGAAGACGAAGACGAAGACGAAGACGAAGAAGAAGAAGAAGAAGAAGAAGAAGAAGAAGGCGGAUGACAUAGCUCAGUGAUAUGCUGGGUUCAAGCCUCACUACUGAACUAGCAUAUUAACGCCCUGGGUUCAAGCACCAUUACUACCAACAAACAAAACAAAAAUAAACCAACCAUCAGAAAAUCAAAACAAAACAAAAAACUAGCCAAUGGAGUUGUUGUAACCUGCUUAAACUCUGUAGUUCCUCUGUGAGACCUCCUUUAGUUCUUAGCAUAACUGUGGCUCCUCUGUUAACACCUGCUGCCGCCUUUAGCAUAUCAGACGCCAUUUUACCUCCCAGUCCCCAUCUUGAGUAUGAGGGAAAAUUAGGUUCUACGUGCCUGAGAAUGGGAUACAAUUCAAUAGUUCAGUGUUUGCUGCUUAGAGUAAAACAAUAGAUGAUAAAUGCAUACUCUGCUUGAAUUGAAGACAAAUGUAUGUUCUGUUAAAGGUAAAAAUCCCCAUAUCCCGCUAUGUUGCUUACUCCCAGAAAGCCGGAAGUCCCCCAGCGAGCUCUCCUACCCUAAAUCCCAGCCAGUCAGUUUAAAGUGCUUUGUCUAGCUACCUAGAUAUAAUACAUUUGAAACAAAAUCGCUUUUGUUUAGCUAGUCAAAAUGAUGUAAUGCUGCCCCCCCCCCCCACUGCCUACACCUGGUUACUUGGUUGUUACCUGGUAAAAACCUAAGAAAUAGACCUGCCUCAUAGUCUGGCUCCAGAGUCCAGAUCAUGGC
Long non-coding RNA from Meriones unguiculatus (Mongolian gerbil), 2954 nucleotides. RefSeq lists it as uncharacterized. NCBI's taxonomy places the organism in Eukaryota, Metazoa, Chordata, Mammalia, Rodentia, Muridae. The transcript has 4 exons. The record is from RefSeq and is a predicted model, not a curated record.